UAGUGUUACAAUUCUUUUACAAUUUGUCUAGCAGGCUUUCUGGUUUUUGCCUAAAAGCCUCU
Molecule: small nuclear RNA, 62 nt
Filed under: Nomascus leucogenys (northern white-cheeked gibbon)
Lineage: Eukaryota; Metazoa; Chordata; Mammalia; Primates; Hylobatidae
Description: U7 small nuclear RNA
Rfam family: U7 small nuclear RNA
About the family: Animal histone pre-mRNAs are spliced by a different mechanism than nuclear pre-mRNAs and self-splicing introns. This processing involves the U7 snRNP, which contains only one RNA species: U7. The 5' end of U7 RNA is thought to base-pair to a conserved spacer element downstream of the cleavage site in histone pre-mRNA.
Source: Rfam by way of RNAcentral